AGCUCAUAGGAGCAGUGCAAAGCUGUUCUUUACACUCUCCCGGCUGUGGGUUGAGGGGGCCAUUUCCUCUCCUGUAUCCUGACUUUGGUAGCACAGAGGAUACUGAUUCCAGUGCCUCAAGAUCUCUUGUUAUGUAAGUGAGGUAGGCUGUGUGAUGAGAUUCCGAGUGACAGGCACUGUGGAGUGCUGGGGACCACGGCUGGCUGAAGUGGGCAGACAUAAUGGCACGCCAGCACUUUGGCCCAGCAGCCAAUGGCAACACAAACAACUGGGAAGUCACUAUGAAUUUUAUCCCAGAGAAAGCUAUGGAUGUGCUUGCUAGAAGAGAUUUGAUGUUUCCCUUCUGUCAAGAUCGGAUCUUCCAUACUGACCAUUAUCCCAUGUCCGGGUUGCUACAAGAAGACUACGCUUUGGUGUGCAAGCACCAUAGUCGUUUCCCUGUAUGGGUUGAGUUCUCAUCAGUAAAUAUUUCAUGUACCUGAUUACUCCACAGUGAGCAACAACAUGAAAACAUAAUCUUGGAGAUGGCUACAGGGUCAGAAGAUCCAGCCUGUUCAUCUCUAUCUCUGUACAUUUUUAAGCCUAGAACACAUUUUACUGACUUUGACUGAGCCUCCACCAUGACAGUUUUGCCCAUGAAGUGAGUGAGUCAGAUGCUCUACCAACCCAUCAGACUAGGAGUGGUCUGUGUCUUUCAUUUGACCUUGAAGGCAGACACUUUCCCACUCUGUCAAUCGUCUCUGUCUACACUAAGCCCUCCUGGAAUGACCAACAGAGCAGCAUGUGCAGGCAGCCUCUAGCAGCCUUCCCUUUAGCUCUCCCUGUGACUUUGUUUCUUGUCGUUUGCAUUUUGCAUGUAAGCUAUUAUCAUUAACAUGUAUUACUGACCAAAGGCCACCAACUUGGAGAUGCGAUUAUUGCCCUGGUCCCCUGUGGUUCGUAGUGAGUCACAAAUCAGCAGCUCCUGCAUCAUUCAGGAGCUUGUUAGAAAGGUUGUAUUCAGGCCAUAGCCAAGACCCAUUGGAUCAGAAUGCACUUGUUAGGAAGAAAGCCUAGAACACUCCUACAUACAUGUGUAUUGAAGCACUACCGUCUACUCUGCAUGCCCCUAACUCCCUGAAAGGCCUCUUCCACCCUCUAUGCUCUAUUCCAAAGGACAGUGACUCCUAGUGGGGUUUUUGGUGAACAUUUUUUUACAACUCCAACUUAGGCAUACAGCCAAUCCAAAUGUGAAUUCAGUUAGCGGGAAUCAUGGGACAGAAUAUUGGACAUUGAGUUUUGUCGUUACUAUAUUUAACUCCUAUUUCAUAACCAUUUUGCUUUUUCUGAGAAGGUUGGAGAAUUAUUUUAAAUGGUCCACUGCUCCAUCCAAUUUUAUCUUAGUUACAGGGGCUACGUAGUUGAGAUUUAAAAAAACGUUUCUGCUGGAACAUUUCUUUUCCUU
Molecule: non-coding RNA, 1444 nt
Organism: Arvicanthis niloticus (Nile rat)
Lineage: Eukaryota; Metazoa; Chordata; Mammalia; Rodentia; Muridae
Source: RefSeq, a predicted model, not a curated record